UGGCAGGUCUCAUACGGCCAGCUCCUACUGAACUCCCCCAGGGUCGGAAGACAGCAAGGGUAGGUGGUUGUAGCGGCGCGAUAUGAUAAGCCUGCCAUUU
This 100-nucleotide signal recognition particle RNA is filed under the name Flavihumibacter sp. CACIAM 22H1. RNAcentral's name for it is "signal recognition particle sRNA small type". It matches the Rfam family "Bacteroidales small SRP". Rfam says of the family: The non-coding component of the signal recognition particle in Bacteroides Lineage: Bacteria; Pseudomonadati; Bacteroidota; Chitinophagia; Chitinophagales; Chitinophagaceae. The record is from RNAcentral.